This 253-nucleotide ribosomal RNA is filed under the name uncultured bacterium. Its description in RNAcentral is "partial 16S ribosomal RNA". It matches the Rfam family "Bacterial small subunit ribosomal RNA", at positions 524 to 776 of the family's 1533-position model. The record is from RNAcentral.
UACGUAGGGUGCAAGCGUUAAUCUGAAUUACUGGGCGUAAAGCGCGCGCAGGCGGUCGUGCAAGACAGAUGUGAAAUCCCCGGGCUCAACCUGGGAAUUGCAUUUGUGACUGCACGGCUGGAGUACGGCAGAGGGGGAUGGAAUUCCGCGUGUAGCAGUGAAAUGCGUAGAUAUGCGGAGGAACACCGAUGGCGAAGGCAAUCCCCUGGGCCUGUACUGACGCUCAUGCAUGAAAGCGAGGGGAGCAAACAGG